UUUUGGACAAUGGGCGCAAGCCUGAUCCAGCCAUGCCGCGUGAGUGAAGAAGGCCUUCGGGUUGUAAAGCUCCUUCGGCGGGGACGAAACGGUUCGUGCUAAUACCACGGACUACUGACGGUACCCGCAGAAGAAGCACCGGCUAACUACGUGCCAGCAGCCGCGGUAAUACGUAGGGUGCAGGCGUUAAUCGGAAUUACUGGGCGUAAAGCGUGCGCAGGCGGUUUGUUAAGACAGGUGUGAAAUCCCCGGGCUUAACCUGGGAAUUGCGCUUGUAACUGGCAGACUGGAGUGUGGCAGAGGGGGGUGGAAUUCCAAGUGUGGCAGUGAAAUGCGUAGAUAUUUGGAGGAACACCGAUGGCGAAGGCAGCCCCCUGGGCUAACACUGACGCUCAUGCACGAAA
RNAcentral lists this ribosomal RNA (404 nucleotides) under uncultured bacterium. RNAcentral's name for it is "bacterial SSU rRNA". It matches the Rfam family "Bacterial small subunit ribosomal RNA", at positions 362 to 758 of the family's 1533-position model. The record is from RNAcentral.